UUUAACCUGAUUCUUCGGAUGAAGGUUUUUGUGACUGAGUGGCGGACGGGUGAGUAACGCGUGGGUAACCUGCCUCAUACAGGGGGAUAACAGUUAGAAAUGACUGCUAAUACCGCAUAAGACCACGGAGCCGCAUGGCUCAGUGGGAAAAACUCCGGUGGUAUGAGAUGGACCCGCGUCUGAUUAGGUAGUUGGUGGGGUAACGGCCUACCAAGCCAACGAUCAGUAGCCGACCUGAGAGGGUGACCGGCCACAUUGGGACUGAGACACGGCCCAAACUCCUACGGGAGGCAGCAGUGGGGAAUAUUGCACAAUGGGGGAAACCCUGAUGCAGCGACGCCGCGUGAGCGAAGAAGUAUUUCGGUAUGUAAAGCUCUAUCAGCAGGGAAGAAUAUGACGGUACCUGACUAAGAAGCACCGGCUAAAUACGUGCCAGCAGCCGCGGUAAUACGUAUGGUGCAAGCGUUAUCCGGAUUUACUGGGUGUAAAGGGAGCGUAGACGGCUGUGUAAGUCUGAAGUGAAAGCCCGGGGCUCAACCCCGGGACUGCUUUGGAAACUAUGCAGCUAGAGUGUCGGAGAGGUAAGUGGAAUUCCCAGUGUAGCGGUGAAAUGCGUAGAUAUUGGGAGGAACACCAGUGGCGAAGGCGGCUUACUGGACGAUGACUGACGUUGAGGCUCGAAAGCGUGGGGAGCAAACAGGAUUAGAUACCCUGGUAGUCCACGCCGUANACGAUGACUACUAGGUGUCGGGGNGCAAAGCUCUUCGGUGCCGCAGCAAACGCAAUAAGUAGU
This 793-nucleotide ribosomal RNA is filed under the name uncultured bacterium. RNAcentral's name for it is "bacterial SSU rRNA". It matches the Rfam family "Bacterial small subunit ribosomal RNA", at positions 62 to 868 of the family's 1533-position model. The record is from RNAcentral.